CUUUCUCCUGCCGGCGACCGGCGCACGGGUGAGUAACACGUAUGCAACCUGCCCCUGUCAGGGGGACAACCCGCCGAAAGGCGGGCUAAACCCGCGUACAUGCCACCGGGGCAUCCCGGAGGCAGGAAAGGCUUCGGCCGGACAGGGAUGGGCAUGCGGUGCAUUAGGCAGUAGGCGGGGUAACGGCCCACCUAACCGACGAUGCGUAGGGGUUCUGAGAGGAAGGUCCCCCACACUGGUACUGAGACACGGACCAGACUCCUACGGGAGGCAGCAG
RNAcentral lists this ribosomal RNA (277 nucleotides) under uncultured bacterium. RNAcentral's name for it is "partial 16S ribosomal RNA". It matches the Rfam family "Bacterial small subunit ribosomal RNA", at positions 78 to 354 of the family's 1533-position model. The record is from RNAcentral.